RNAcentral lists this ribosomal RNA (497 nucleotides) under uncultured bacterium. RNAcentral describes it as "partial 16S ribosomal RNA". It matches the Rfam family "Bacterial small subunit ribosomal RNA", at positions 28 to 507 of the family's 1533-position model. The record is from RNAcentral.
GAUGAACGCUGGCGGCGUGCCUAAUACAUGCAAGUCGAGCGAACAGACGAGGAGCUUGCUCCUCUGACGUUAGCGGCGGACGGGUGAGUAACACGUGGAUAACCUACCUAUAAGACUGGGAUAACUUCGGGAAACCGGCGCUAAUACCGGAUAAUAUAUUGCACCGCAUGGUUCAAUAGUGAAAGACGGUUUUGCUGUCACUUAUAGAUGGAUCCGCGCCGCAUUAGCUAGUUGGUAAGGUAACGGCUUACCAAGGCGACGAUGCGUAGCCGACCUGAGAGGGUGAUCGGCCACACUGUAACUGAGACACGGUCCAGACUCCUACGGGAGGCAGCAGUAGGGAAUCUUCCGCAAUGGGCGAAAGCCUGACGGAGCAACGCCGCGUGAGUGAUGAAGGUCUUCGGAUCGUAAAACUCUGUUAUUAGGGAAGAACAAAUGUGUAAGUAACUAUGCACGUCUUGACGGUACCUAAUCAGAAAGCCACGGCUAACUACGUG